Molecule: long non-coding RNA, 4476 nt
Organism: Oncorhynchus tshawytscha (Chinook salmon)
Lineage: Eukaryota; Metazoa; Chordata; Actinopteri; Salmoniformes; Salmonidae
Source: Ensembl
UGACUUUCUAAAUGUGCUUUAUUCUAGCUCAUCAAAAACAUUCUCACCGUCAUCAUGGUCAUCAUCAGUAACAUCAUCAUGGUCAUCCUCAUCAUCAAUAACAUCAUGGUCAUCCUCAUCAUCAUCAAUAACAUCAUCAUGGUCAUCCUCCUCAUUAUCAACAACAUCAUCAUGGUCAUCCUCGUCAUCAUCAAUAACAUCAUCAUGGUCAUCCUCAUCAUCAUCAAUAACAUCAUCACGGUCAUCAAUAACAUCAUCAUCAAUAACAUCAUCAUCAACAACUAUCAUUUCAUUGAUUUUGCUCAAAAGCUAAAGCUGUGAUCACAAAUAAAAAAUAAAACAUUUGGUCCUUAAAUAUAAUCUAGGCAACAUGGUAUCAAGGGUUAAAAGAGGAAUGCUCUUUUGCUACUCACAGAAAACAUCAAACAGCACUGGACAUGACACCAGGACAAGAGAGGGAAGAAAGGAGGGGGAGGGAGGGAUGGAUGGAGGGAGGGAAUGAUAGAGAGAGAUACAGUAGAGAGAGGGAAGAAAGGAGGGGAGGGAGGGAUGGAUGGAGGGAGGGAAUGAUAGAGAGAGAUACAGUAGAGAGAGGGAAGAAAGGAGGGGGGAGGGAGGGAUGGAUGGAGGGAGGGAAUGAUAGAGAGAGAUACAGUAGAGAGAGGGAAAAGUCAGAGAUGGAGAGAGGUAGAGAGCAUCUGUGAAUGUCUCUGGAACAGUAGUUAACUACAAAAGCUCUGUGAAAGAUGAAAGGAGGAUCAGACAGACAGAGAUGAAAGACAGGAUAAAAGCAGACAGGAGCCAGAGGAGGUGAGGAACGAGGGAAAAGGAGGGAAUAGAGAGAGAGGCAUGCAUUUACAGGAAGCUAGGCGGAACAAAUAAACCCACAUCCACAGUUUACGAGGGAGCAGUAUUAAGUGUUGCACCAAAAAACACAAUUCAGUUACAGAAGUUGUAUGAACAACGAAGCUAAACGAAGCUAAACACCACACAACUUGGACAACAAAACCACAAGUGGAUCAAUCGCUCCUAUAGUUACUGAUCAAUAUGAUGACUAACUUUACAGUGAUUAGUAAUCUCAUACUAUGAUUAAUCAUAUAAUGACAAAAUAUUACACUUUGGUGAAGGGCGAGAGGCAAAAGGGAGGGGAAGCUGGAAAUCAGGAAGUGCCUAUCUUAUUGGUCGUUUUAGAAUUGGCCAACUAGCCCUCCUCCAAUCAGCAGCAAGAUGCAACGAACCCCAUUGCUAUCUUUGUCAUCAUCGUCCUCGUUUUUCCCUCCCACUGUGUGCUGCCAUUAUCUUCCACUUCAUCUCUCUUGCUUGCUCCAACAAUCACUUACACAGAUAUGCAUCUAUAUGUUUGGACUUCAAAUAUAAACUGUGAUUCUACUCUAGCCUGCCCUAGUCACCAGAGCCAUAGAUAUACAGAGUCUGCCGAACUCGGUUUGAAUCUAGAAUUUUGGCAUGCCAUGUUGGCAACAACUGUUAAAACCUAGUCGCAAGUCAUGGACUGUUUGGAGGAUAGUUUGUUGAACUCAAAUCUGCAGUACCCUAUUCCUUACAGUGUGCUACUUUAAUUGGAGCAUGGGGUGUUUGGUGACACAAUCUACACAGUAUAUCUGGCCCGAAAAGUCCAUCCUCCAAUCAGAUAAUUUCCUCCAGGACCAUCACAUGUUGGCAGGCAGUUUUUCUCUCAGUCCCUAUUAGUCUUUCCCUGUCUGAGGCAGCUACAGGUCCUUCUUGCCCCCCUUGGGAGAGGCGGAGGGGGCAGAGGUGGCUGGGGGGCAAGAGGUUUGAGAGAGGGAGGUGGCAGGGCCUGGGACCAACUGAGUGGGUGGGAGGGUGGUAGUGGAGGUUUGGACAGGUGUUACGGCUGUGGUCAGCUUUGGAGCAUGACUGGUGUAAGGAGUACAGGUAGGUGUGGGGACAGGACCUAAAGGUUGGCUCUGUUUUGGGGUAUGGGUUGAUGCAGGUUUGGGGGUGGAGGAUUGUUUUGGGGUAUGGAUAGGUACAGGUGGGAUUGUGGGGGUAACAGAACAUUUAGAAGUGGGUUUUGGGGCUGGGGUUUGGACUAGGGGUUGGGCUGCUGGGGUCUGUUUUGGGGUGUGGGCUGAGCCUUUUGUUGGGGCUUGAAUUGCAGCAUCGGAGGCGAUGGGUACAGGAGUAAGAGAAUGCUUAGAUGUGGGUGUUGGGGUAUGGGUGGAGGUUUGAACAGGGGCAUGUUUGGCAGUAUGGGUAGGGGGAGGUUUGGGGGUUGGAGUUGAGGUUGGGGCCUGAGGUUUAGAACUGGUAGGUGUUGGGGUUAGAGUUUGGCUUUUCAUAAGGGCAGGUGAAGGACUAGAGAUAGGAGUGGGAGGUUUACUGGAAGAAGGGGUGGGAAUCAAGGUUGAGGUUGGAGCUAGGAUGGGAGUGGAGGCUGGGGUGGGGGCUGGGGUGGGAGUGGAGGCUGGGGUGGGGGCUGGGGUGGAGGCUGGGGUGGGAGUUAAGGCUGGGGUGGGGGCUGGGGUGGGGGCUGGGGUGGGAGUGGAGGCUGGGGUGGAGGCUGGGGUGGGAGUGGAGGCUGGGGUGGAGGCUGGGGUGGGAGUGGAGGCUGGGGUGGGGGCUGGGGUGGAGGCUGGGGUGGGAGUGAAGGCUGGGGUGGAGGCUGGGGUGGAGGCUGGGGUGGGGGCUGGGGUGGGGGCUGGGGUGGGAGUGGAGGCUGGGGUGGGGGUUGCAGUUAGGGUUUGGCUCUGAAUGGCAACAGGAGUAGAAAUAGGGGUAGGGGGACGAUUGGAGGGUUGAGAGAGGGUAGUGGUAGGGGUACGAGUCUGGAUAGGGGUAAAGGCUUUAGAGGGGGUAGGGGUGGGCCCAGAUAGAGGGUAAGGGGAGGGGGUGUAGGGGAGGACUUGAUUAGGGGCUCUGAAGAAGAGUGGGAGAGGAAGGUAGGGAAGAGGAGGGGGUGAGGGGGACGCGAGAGAGGACUUGCACCCAUGGGUUUGUGGAAGUGAGAGAGGAGCACUGACAGAGGAGGGAGGGGGAGUGGAGGAGGGAGAGGGGGAAGAAGAGCGAGAUGGGGGUGUAGGGGUGGGUUUGGGGCGAGGGGUUGAGGUGAGUGGAGUAGUUCCGGCAGAGGGAGGGAUGGAGCAGUGGGGAGGAGAGGAGGAGCGAGAUGGUGGUGUAGGGGUGAGUUUGGGGCGAGGGGUUAGUGGCAGGGCUGGGAUGAGGGAGAAAGGAGCGGGAGCAGGGGAGGGGGUGGCAAAGGAGAGGGGGGUUUGUUUGGGGGAGGAAGUGUAGGAGGCCAGGGGAGAAGCUGAUGUGGGUGUGGGUGUGGCUGCAGGUACAGCGACAGGAUGUGUGUGUGUGGCUGUGUGUGUGUGUGCAGGGCAGUGUGUAGAGACAGGAUCAGAGAGGGGCUGUAUAGAGCCCAUGUUAUGUGCUUGUAUCUGUGCAUUGAAGGGGGGCAUCUUUAACCGUUGUGCUGGGACUUGUACUGGUAGGGGAGUAGUCAACACCCCCACACUGCCACCCCUGGCUAGCUGCGUCCCAGCCAGGAACGAGGCUGGCAGCAGGUUACCUCCAGAGGCCUUCCGCUCGAGAGGGGGGUGAGGCUGCAUGCUUGCCCAGGAUCGAUGAGGCAGGGUGGGCUGCGAGGCGGAGAGGAGCCUGGCCUCCUGGGUGAGCCUCCCAAGUGCAGGCAGGCCCUGGUUGCUGCUGCCUCCGUGACGCAAUAGCGCCUCCUUGGCUCCAUGCUGGCCAGCCAUGGAACUGCAAUUGUCUGACAUGACACUGGUGGCUGCAGUUGGAUUCACGUGGUAGAACAGAUGGGGUGUGGUGGCCCCUCCUACCUUGGGGAUUCCUGGGGUUCCACCCAUCACUGAAGAGUGUUCCGGGUGGAGGCGGAGACUGUAGUGCAGGGUCUUUCCUAAUUGGACCGACGUGGAGACAGAGGAGGCCGGUGUGGGUGGGGUUUGAGCAACAGGGGGUGAUAUCACACCUCCCGGGGGGGCCAUGGGGAAGGGCGAGGGGGAGGGGAAGGCAGGAAACACCCCUCUAGGGGACAGCCCCCCCAUCCCUCCUACCCCCAUCAUCCCAAUGAGGGAACUCACAGAGGGGCGCAGGGGCUGCAGGACAGGGGGCCGUGGGGGGGAGAGGGGGAAGGAGACGGAGGAUGAUGGAGAGAUGGAGGGGAGGAAUAUAGCGCCUCCUAGCGCAUGUUGCUGCUGUAGCUGAUGUUGAAGCUGCUGUUGCUGCUGCUGCUGGUGCAUGAGGGCGAUAGCCACGUUAGUCGUAGCGGCCGCCGUCUGGAGCGGAGCGUGGAUCAGUGGAGCCCAGAUCAGUGGGUGGGGCCUAGGGGAGACCGUACCACUUCCUCCCGUGGCCCCUCCCCUUCCUGCAGCGGCAGCAGCAAUGGCCUCCUGCAUGGCUGGCAUGCUGUCGUGUUUAACAAUCUGCUGAACCAGCAUGCUGUCACAGGAGCCCAGCCCUCCCAUGCCUAGC